GAUGAAGAACCGCAGCGAAAUGCGAUAAGUAAUGUGAAUUGCAGAACUCAGUGAGUCAUCGAAUCUUUGAACGCACAUUGCGCCCUGUGGUAUUCCGCAGGGCAUGCCUGUUCGAGCGUCAUUUCAACCCUCAAGCCCCGCUUGGUGUUGGGCCCCGCCCGCCGUGGCCGGCCCUAAAGACAGUGGCGGCGCCGCCUGGCCCUCAGCGUAGUACAGCUCUCGCUCCAGGGUCCGGCGGCCGCCUGCCAGAACCCCCCCAACUCUGUGGUUGACCUCGGAUCAGGUAGGGAUACCCGCUGAACUUAAGCAUAUCAAUAAGCGGAGGA
This 326-nucleotide unclassified non-coding RNA is filed under the name soil metagenome. Its description in RNAcentral is "partial contains 5.8S ribosomal RNA, internal transcribed spacer 2, and large subunit ribosomal RNA". The stretch from base 1 to 121 matches the Rfam family "5.8S ribosomal RNA", at positions 35 to 154 of the family's 154-position model. The record is from RNAcentral.